CAGUAGCCGCGGGAAUACGGAGGGUGCAAGCGUUAAUCGGAAUUACUGGGCGUAAAGCGCACGCAGGCGGUUUGUUAAGUCAGAUGUGAAAUCCCCGAGCUUAACUUGGGAACUGCAUUUGAAACUGGCAAGCUAGAGUCUUGUAGAGGGGGUAGAAUUCCAGGUGUAGCGGUGAAAUGCGUAGAGAUCUGGAGGAAUACCGGUGGCGAAGGCGGCCCCCUGGACAAAGACUGACGCUCAGGUGCGAAAGCGUGGGGAGCAAACAGGAUUAGAGACCCGUGUAGUCCCUGUCUCUUAUACC
This 301-nucleotide ribosomal RNA is filed under the name uncultured bacterium. RNAcentral describes it as "partial 16S ribosomal RNA". It matches the Rfam family "Bacterial small subunit ribosomal RNA", at positions 509 to 808 of the family's 1533-position model. The record is from RNAcentral.